ACACUUACCUGGCAGGGAUGAUGCCAUGAUCACCAAGGUGAUUUGGCUCAUGCAUUGUACUCCAGAUAUGCUGACCCUCGCGGUUUUGCCAAAUGUGGAAAUCUCAACUUCAUGAUUUGUGGUAGUGGCUAACUUCAUUUGCACUAUCCCC
This 151-nucleotide small nuclear RNA is filed under the name Sorex araneus (European shrew). RNAcentral's name for it is "U1 spliceosomal RNA (ENSSARG00000018767.1)". It matches the Rfam family "U1 spliceosomal RNA". Rfam says of the family: U1 is a small nuclear RNA (snRNA) component of the spliceosome (involved in pre-mRNA splicing). Its 5' end forms complementary base pairs with the 5' splice junction, thus defining the 5' donor site of an intron. There are significant differences in sequence and secondary structure between metazoan and yeast U1 snRNAs, the latter being much longer (568 nucleotides as compared to 164 nucleotides in human). The record is from RNAcentral. Lineage: Eukaryota; Metazoa; Chordata; Mammalia; Eulipotyphla; Soricidae.